CCUCCCCCCUCCUGGCCCCGCCCCUCCCCCUCCCCCCCCUGCCUCUCUCUCUGGUUUCAUGUCCCAACCUAACGUCGUCUACAGCAAGAACUCCAAGCCGCAAAUUGAGCACUUCUUCAAGCUCUUCUGAUUGCCUUCUCAUCCGUCAACAAUUGCAGGUCAAGCGUGAUAUUGUGCUGAGAGUGCUUGUGCUUUGGUCUCACCUUUUUCGGUUCUCAUUGUCAUUUGAUAUAGCUUGCUGCUUUGUCGAAUGAUUGUAGCUUAUAUGUAAGGGUUAAUUGCAUAUACUCUCUGUGGUAUCGUUUUUAAAUUGCAACCCCUGUAGUGUACACUGUUGCAGAUGUGCCCUUGGGUUAAAAUUGUGACUGUUUUACCCUUGGACUUACUAAUUUCUAGCUGAAGUCAAACAAAAGGAUAUUGGAUUCGGUUUGAUGUUAUUUGGGCCUUCUAUGUUCUCUGAGCUUAUUGCCAGAAGUAGAAGGAAUUGUUUUUGUAUGUUGACAAAUGAUUCCUGUGAAGUUUUAUGAGGACAAAUGAUUCCUGUGAAGUUUCUUA
Molecule: long non-coding RNA, 555 nt
Organism: Asparagus officinalis (garden asparagus)
Lineage: Eukaryota; Viridiplantae; Streptophyta; Magnoliopsida; Asparagales; Asparagaceae
Exons: 3
Source: RefSeq, a predicted model, not a curated record